AGUGGCGGACGGGUGAGUAACGCGUGAGCAACCUACCCAUAAGAGGGGGAUAACAGUUGGAAACGACUGCUAAUACCGCAUAAGCUGGUUGGUACCCAUGUACUGAUUAGUAAAGAUGGCCUCUGAAUAUGCUAUCACUUAUGGAUGGGCUCGCGUCUGAUUAGCUAGUUGGCAGGGUAACGGCCUACCAAGGCGACGAUCAGUAGCCGGCCUGAGAGGGUGGACGGCCACACUGGGACUGAGACACGGCCCAGACUCCUACGGGAGGCAGCAGUGGGGAAUAUUGCGCAAUGGGGGAAACCCUGACGCAGCGACGCCGCGUGAGCGAAGAAGGCCUUAGGGUUGUAAAGCUCUGUUUUCAGGAAAGAAUGUCGCAGGUAAUAAUACGAUCUGCGAAUGACGGUACCUGAAGAGGAAGCCCCGGCUAACUACGUGCCAGCAGCCGCGGUAAGACGUAGGGGGCGAGCGUUGUCCGGAAUUACUGGGCGUAAAGAGCACGUAGGCGGGACUUUAAGUCAGGUGUGAAAGACCGGGGCUCAACCUCGGGGUUGCACUUGAAACUGGAGUUCUUGAGGGCAGGAGAGGAAAGCAGAAUUCCUGGUGUAGCGGUGAAAUGCGUAGAAAUCAGGAGGAAUACCAGUGGCGAAGGCGGCUUUCUGGACUGACCCUGACGCUGAGGUGCGAAAGCGUGGGUAGCAAACAGGAUUAGAUACCCUGGUAGUCCACGCUGUAAACGAUGGAUACUAGGUGUGGGAGGUAUCGACCCCUUCCGUGCCGCAGCUAACGCAAUAA
This 792-nucleotide ribosomal RNA is filed under the name uncultured bacterium. RNAcentral's name for it is "bacterial SSU rRNA". It matches the Rfam family "Bacterial small subunit ribosomal RNA", at positions 94 to 863 of the family's 1533-position model. The record is from RNAcentral.